Molecule: microRNA precursor, 176 nt
Filed under: Oryza sativa (Asian cultivated rice)
Lineage: Eukaryota; Viridiplantae; Streptophyta; Magnoliopsida; Poales; Poaceae
Description: miR2118d stem-loop (osa-MIR2118d)
Rfam family: MIR2118 microRNA precursor family
Source: miRBase by way of RNAcentral
GUGGAUCAGGAAGAGGAAGAAAAGAGGGUCUGAGAGCGGUGGGCAUGGGAACAUGGAGGAAAGCCCAAACUCUUCUUCGCCUCUAGAACUAGGGGCUGAGAUUUGGUUUCCUUGUUUUCCUGAUGCCUCCCAUGCCUAUUGUUCUCAGAUGCUCCUUCCUCUUCCUUUUGGUUCGC